Triticum aestivum (bread wheat) is the source of this 2343-nucleotide long non-coding RNA. RefSeq lists it as uncharacterized. The transcript is spliced from 6 exons. Lineage: Eukaryota; Viridiplantae; Streptophyta; Magnoliopsida; Poales; Poaceae. The record is from RefSeq and is a predicted model, not a curated record.
CUCCUCUACGCCGCCUCCACCCAAACCCUAAACCUAGCUGCUCCCCACGCCGCUGCCGUCUCCGUCGCCCAGCUUGCUGGAUCCCCAUCGUCCACUUCCAUGUCGCCGUCGUCCUCACGUGCACACGGCAGGAGGAGCAUGGGAGAUGUGGAGCCGCCGCAAUCGUCCUCUCGUUGUAGCUCCACGCGGCCGCGCUGCCGCCCUCCACGCAGCUCCAUGACGCCACCGCUCCCCUCCGUGCCGCGCCCCGCUGCUCUACUCCCCCGAGCAGCUCCCCCUCUCCCUACAAAUCCCUUAUUUUCCCGUCUAUUCAAUCGAGCCCCUGUUCCUCAAUCUGGUGGGAUGACUACGAGGCGGCACUCGAUCUGGAGGCAUGGAGGCGGCAUGGGGUGGGCGCUCCUCGUCCUCGAGCUCCACUUCUUCAGCAACUCCAGGCCCUCCUCAACAUCUUUGCCGUUCUCGCCAUGGGGUGGGCUGCGGAAGUUGACCCUGCGGUACUCGUGCAAGCGUGGCUCCCUCCUCCAGUUGCUCAUCGGCCUCACUUUCCCCAUUAGGAAUCUACUACCUAGGAGUACAUGGAACAUUGGUUCUACCUCAGUUGCGCAUUUUUUUAAGAAAUCAAGAGGCCACUGGUUUAUUAUUUUCAGUGAUGGGGACAGCUUUGCAACUGUAGAACAUAGUAUGAGUUAGCACUUACGAGCAGUCAAGGGGGGUAGGUAGCAUAAAUCUCAUCUUUCAUGAUUUGACGUGCAUCACUUUGGAGUGGGAUGGCUAAUAAAUUAGGUAGUGAUGCUGUCUGGUAUUGUUCUGUACACUCCUGCAUCAUUAAGUUUUCCAGGCAACAACAGCACAAUGCUGAUAAUGAAAAGGAUAGGUGCAGGUUCAGACAGCUUAGGGUAUACAGAAGUUGCUUACAGGGUUGUAGUUGGAACAUGGGACCAUUGUUUGAUAUUGAGUCGUUGUCGAGUGGACAAUUUGAUAUUGGUCUCAGCCAAACAUAAAAAAGGCACCACAUGUCAAAUCAAUAAGCUGCUUCCUGGUUGAUCUUAAAUUAGUCGAUCGGUGGUAGUGAACUGGCAACGACGAAUUGAAUUGGUUUGAUAUAUGGAUCCAUGUGUACUUGCUGAUCUUUGACUAGCCAGUGCCAGUCCUUUCUGAUGUUUUCAGGUCCCAAAAUGCGCCUUCGUUGAAAUUUGUAGGAGAUGAUCUGAUUUAUUGUAGAAGUACAACUGCUGCUGCUGGAGCUCAUGCCUCAAGAAAGGCCAUCCAUGGUUUAUGGCAGGAGACCCGGAGAAGAACAACCAACUUUAUCUAAAAAUGGAAGAGCUAGCACCAAAGAGCCCCAGCCCACCUCCAAGAUCAAGUUCUAUGCGUAAUUCACGGAUAGUGGUUGGCGGCACAUCUUCUAACCAAGUCACCUCCAGUGAUCCUUCUGUUGACAAGCAGCCAGACCCAAGGUUAGUCUCUGAAGAUGUCUGUUCAUAAUUUAUUAUUCUCUAAGUUCCACAUGAUUAGUCUCCAGAAAAAGCAUGGCCACCGGCACAAAAUGGACGAAGAAGAGGUGAGCUGCCGCGACAUCGAAGCUCUCGCACCGAUGCUCCCCGUCGAGCUCGCGCGUGCGCCGGAUCUGGUGGCCAACACAGCCCGUCCGUCCGCCGGCACCUCCAAGCAAGGCCUACAACAGCACUCCUUCUAUGAGAGACGCUGGAUCAUUGCCUUACACAGGCACUAUGGGUUGCGCUUCCUGAUGUAAAUCACUUCCUGGACAGGCGGCAUGCAUCCUGAUGCAAAUCAGUUCCUGGACAACCAAUUUGAGAUCAAUUAUCCGGAACUCAUGUACUACUUCGCCCCUUUUGCUGGAUCGAGAAGGCAAGGACCUCACCGAGCUGAACGUGUGCUGAACGCGAAGGUGCCGUACGUUUAGUUCUUGAUCGGAACGGAUCGUGAAGGUGUACGACUACAUCAACCGCGUUGAUAAACGCUUCCGCUUACGGUUUACGAGGGUUGCUGCCGGAACCGGAUGGGGUCUCCAGCCAGCCUGCCAUUUGGCUUGCAGUCUUGGUCAUUGCAAGUUAGCCUUACAUAGGUAUAAGGGUUUUAGUACUUCAUUAAUGUGACAAAAGUGAAGAGAAAACUGUUGCAUCGAAUUAGUAAUGGAGUGGUUUCGAUGAGAACUAAUAAAGAAUAUAUUUCAUGACCGAGACAUUGAUAUGAAUUUUGAGUAUUUAAUAGAGAAAUCCAGUAGUUCAUAUGAAGAAAAAGAAAGGCAUGAUGUACUAUAUUGACAGUGAUUAUUAGCCCAUUAUGGUACUUCAAAUCUGAUAAAGAAUGUAUUUCAUGACU